GUCUAUGGUCAUGCCAUCUGAUCUUGGAAGCUAAGCAAGGUCAGGCCUAGUUAGUACUUGGAUGGGAGACCAUCUAUAAAGACCAGGUGCCGUAGGCA
This 98-nucleotide ribosomal RNA is filed under the name Pteropus alecto (black flying fox). The record is from RNAcentral. Lineage: Eukaryota; Metazoa; Chordata; Mammalia; Chiroptera; Pteropodidae.